UUUGCUGACGAGUGGCGGACGGGUGAGUAAUGUCUGGGAAACUGCCUGAUGGAGGGGGAUAACUACUGGAAACGGUAGCUAAUACCGCAUAACGUCGCAAGACCAAAGAGGGGGACCUUCGGGCCUCUUGCCAUCGGAUGUGCCCAGAUGGGAUUAGCUAGUAGGUGGGGUAACGGCUCACCUAGGCGACGAUCCCUAGCUGGUCUGAGAGGAUGACCAGCCACACUGGAACUGAGACACGGUCCAGACUCCUACGGGAGGCAGCAGUGGGGAAUAUUGCACAAUGGGCGCAAGCCUGAUGCAGCCAUGCCGCGUGUAUGAAGAAGGCCUUCGGGUUGUAAAGUACUUUCAGCGGGGAGGAAGGCGAUAAGGUUAAUAACCUUGUCGAUUGACGUUACCCGCAGAAGAAGCACCGGCUAACUCCGUGCCAGCAGCCGCGGUAAUACGGAGGGUGCAAGCGUUAAUCGGAAUUACUGGGCGUAAAGCGCACGCAGGCGGUCUGUCAAGUCGGAUGUGAAAUCCCCGGGCUCAACCUGGGAACUGCAUUCGAAACUGGCAGGCUAGAGUCUUGUAGAGGGGGGUAGAAUUCCAGGUGUAGCGGUGAAAUGCG
Molecule: ribosomal RNA, 610 nt
Filed under: Enterobacter cloacae
Lineage: Bacteria; Pseudomonadati; Pseudomonadota; Gammaproteobacteria; Enterobacterales; Enterobacteriaceae
Description: bacterial SSU rRNA
Rfam family: Bacterial small subunit ribosomal RNA
Source: RNAcentral